AACGAACGCUGGCGGCAUGCCUAACACAUGCAAGUCGAACGAGAUCUUCGGGUCUAGUGGCGCACGGGUGCGUAACGCGUGGGAAUCUGCCCUUUGGUUCGGAAUAACAGUUGGAAACGACUGCUAAUACCGGAUGAUGACGAAAGUCCAAAGAUUUAUCGCCAGAGGAUGAGCCCGCGUAGGAUUAGCUAGUUGGUGUGGUAAAGGCGCACCAAGGCGACGAUCCUUAGCUGGUAUGAGAGGAUGAUCAGCCACACUGGGACUGAGACACGGCCCAGACUCCUACGGGAGGCAGCAGUGGGGAAUAUUGGACAAUGGGCGAAAGCCUGAUCCAGCAAUGCCGCGUGAGUGAUGAGGGCCUUAGGGUUGUAAAGCUCUUUUACCCGGGAUGAUAAUGACAGUACCGGGAGAAUAAGCUCCGGCUAACUCCGUGCCAGCCGCCGCAGUAA
RNAcentral lists this ribosomal RNA (449 nucleotides) under uncultured bacterium. RNAcentral describes it as "partial 16S ribosomal RNA". It matches the Rfam family "Bacterial small subunit ribosomal RNA", at positions 29 to 523 of the family's 1533-position model. The record is from RNAcentral.